GCGUGAGAUUGAUCCCACGGAGCAAAUGCGCCCCUUUCCCAUGGUCUGGAAUGGACUCCGUCCCAGGCAAAUUGGAGUUGCAGUUUGUCGGAGGUGGUCCUGUCCUCCGUGGCCAGCUCCAUCCACUGUGGGUUUGAGGGAAGCCCUCCUGAUUUCGUCACCAUCAUCACACCUGCUGGAGGAUGGUCACGUGCUGGAGCACGCAGGAGUGGUGCUGUGUCUGAAUCUGGCACCGAGCGCAGGCAGGGAGAGGUUCACGUGGUGAGAUCUGCCUUGGGAACCACCCUCUCCAAAGCCGACAUCCUGUGAGAUUCACGAGCAGUGUUCUGAGCCUUCUCAGCAGUGCCUCUUCCUGCUAUGGACGCUCAAUGCCUGUCUGGUUAAUAAAGGACACGAAC
Bos taurus (domestic cattle) is the source of this 398-nucleotide long non-coding RNA. Lineage: Eukaryota; Metazoa; Chordata; Mammalia; Artiodactyla; Bovidae. The record is from Ensembl.